This 253-nucleotide ribosomal RNA is filed under the name uncultured bacterium. Its description in RNAcentral is "partial 16S ribosomal RNA". It matches the Rfam family "Bacterial small subunit ribosomal RNA", at positions 524 to 776 of the family's 1533-position model. The record is from RNAcentral.
UACGAAGGGGGCUAGCGUUGUUCGGAAUUACUGGGCGUAAAGCGCGCGCAGGCGGUCCUUUAAGUCGGGGGUGAAAGCCCAGAGCUCAACUCUGGAACUGCCUUCGAAACUAGAGGACUUGGGUACGGGAGAGGUGAGUGGAAUUCCGAGUGUAGAGGUGAAAUUCGUAGAUAUUCGGAAGAACACCAGUGGCGAAGGCGGCUCACUGGCCCGUUACCGACGCUCAGGCGCGACAGCGUGGGGAUCAAACAGG